This 1112-nucleotide long non-coding RNA is filed under the name Elaeis guineensis (African oil palm). RNAcentral's name for it is "long non-coding RNA (EGUI_LNC082814)". Lineage: Eukaryota; Viridiplantae; Streptophyta; Magnoliopsida; Arecales; Arecaceae. The record is from RNAcentral.
UCCGAUCAAAGUACCUUCAGAAAUUUUUCGAUUUGCUUCUCUACUUUACAUUUGAAUAAUUUAAAUCUUUUAAAAAAUUUUAGAUUUGUAUCUCAUAUACUUACCCAUACCAUGAUUGAUCAUCGGUAAAGGUAACAAAGUAGAGAUGACUCUUUUGUUAGCACAUCAUAUGGACUACAUACAUCAAAUGUGUACAAAGAUAAGUAUCUCAAUGGUUCUUUUUCUUUGGUCCCACAAGAGUAGCUUAGUCAUAUUUUCUCAAAAAGAUGAUAUACAAACUAGAUAUGACUCAAUAGUCAAUAAGUCCAAAGCCCAUAUUUCUCCAGUUUGUUAAUCAUUUCUUCUCCAAUAUGAUCUAGUCUGAGGUCCCAUAUAUACUUUAGAUUUAUCUUAACUUUGGAUCUCUCAGAUCCAAUGGCAUUCACUGCUUGCUCAAUUAAGUUCACAGAUGCAUCACCAUGCAAAUGAUAGAGAUUGUCUUUAAGAACUAAAAUCCAAACGAUGAUCACAAAGGACAGAUACCUAUAGCCACAGCAGCAACUCUUGUCCUAUUACCAAUUUAAGGAUUACUUCCUCAGCCCUCUAUCUUUCCAUCGAUUCUAUAAAAAUCACUAGAGCCUAUAACUCAACUAGGAGAAGAAAAAAUUAUAAGGAUAGUAUUGAGCAAUUUCAACAUACCUACUCUAGACGUGUCUUUGUUUCUUUAGGCUCUCCAAGUAUGUACUUCUGAACUCUUUUAAGGUUCCUUUGUUAGCAACACUUUGACCAAUUCAGAUAAGGUGCCAUGAUGGUCAUUUAUAUGAUAGUUUAUCAUAAACUAUCCAUAUAAACUAAUCAGAGAUCGCAGGAUCAAAUCUACAAGUAAUUCUUUAUGUAUGGUCAUGUUGAGCCUUUUAAGCUCCUUAAUAUCUUUGAUUAUUAUCAAAUAACAGUCAUAGACUGACUACCCAUCAUGCAUCACAUGCACUGUGCGACUUUGAUUACCUCACAACACUUGUAGAUGAAUCAAUAUGUUGUUGGCAGUGAACAUGUGCUCAUAUAUACAUUUGAGUUCAUCUAACAUGGACUUCAAUAUUUAGCACCUAUCUUAAUUAUCAUUGUCCAUCCACUCA